Molecule: unclassified non-coding RNA, 142 nt
Filed under: soil metagenome
Description: partial internal transcribed spacer 1
Source: RNAcentral
UAAUAAGUGUUUUCGGCACUUUUUAAAUCCAUAUCCACCUUGGGUGCAAUGUCGGUCGAUCUUCCUUAUUGGAGGAUGACCAAACAUCAACCUUUAUCUUUUAACCUUGUCUGAAAAAUAUUAUGAAUAACAAUUCAAAAUA